GUGCCAGCCGCCGCGGUAAUACGAAGGGGGCUAGCGUUGUUCGGAAUUACUGGGCGUAAAGCGCGCGCAGGCGGUUUUCCAAGUCAGUGGUGAAAGCCCGGAGCUCAACUCCGGAAAUGCCAUUGAAACUGUAAAACUUGAGUACGAGAGAGGUGAGUGGAAUUCCCAGUGUAGAGGUGAAAUUCGUAGAUAUUGGGAAGAACACCGGUGGCGAAGGCGGCUCACUGGCUCGUAACUGACGCUCAGGCGCGAUAGCGUGGGGAUCAAACAGGAUUAGAAACCCCCGUAGUCC
This 292-nucleotide ribosomal RNA is filed under the name uncultured bacterium. Its description in RNAcentral is "partial 16S ribosomal RNA". It matches the Rfam family "Bacterial small subunit ribosomal RNA", at positions 505 to 796 of the family's 1533-position model. The record is from RNAcentral.